CCUACGGGUGGCAGCAGUGAGGAAUAUUGGUCAAUGGACGCAACUCUGAACCAGCCAAGUAGCGUGCAGGAUGAAGGCCCUCCGGGUUGUAAACUGCUUUUAGUUGGGAAUAAAAGGGGGCUCGUGAGCCCCGUAUUGUAUGUACCAUCAGAACAAGGACCGGCUAAUUCCGUGCCAGCAGCCGCGGUAAUACGGAAGGUCCGGGCGUUAUCCGGAUUUAGUGGGUGUAAAGGGAGCGUAGGCCGGCUUAUAAGUCAGCUGUGAAAGUCCGCGGCUCAACCGCGGAAUUGCAGUUGAAACUGGAGGCCUUGAGUGCACACAGGGAUGCUGGAAUUCAUGGUGUAGCGGUGAAAUGCUUAGAUAUUAUGAAGAACUCCGAUCGCGAAGGCAAGUGUCCGGGGUGUAACUGACGCUGAGGCUCGAAAGUGCGGGGAUCAAACAGGAUUAGAUACCCGAGUAGUC
Molecule: ribosomal RNA, 462 nt
Filed under: uncultured bacterium
Lineage: Bacteria
Description: partial 16S ribosomal RNA
Rfam family: Bacterial small subunit ribosomal RNA
Source: RNAcentral